This 157-nucleotide ribosomal RNA is filed under the name Tricholomopsis decora. RNAcentral describes it as "5.8S ribosomal RNA". It matches the Rfam family "5.8S ribosomal RNA". From Rfam's summary of the family: 5.8S ribosomal RNA (5.8S rRNA) is a component of the large subunit of the eukaryotic ribosome. It is transcribed by RNA polymerase I as part of the 45S precursor that also contains 18S and 28S rRNA. Functionally, it is thought that 5.8S rRNA may be involved in ribosome translocation. The record is from RNAcentral. Lineage: Eukaryota; Fungi; Basidiomycota; Agaricomycetes; Agaricales.
CAACUUUCAACAAUGGAUCUCUUGGUUCUCGCAUCGAUGAAGAACGCAGCGAAAUGCGAUAAGUAAUGUGAAUUGCAGAUCUCAGUGAAUCAUCGAAUCUUUGAACGCACCUUGCGCUCUUUGGUAUUCCAAAGGGCAUGCCUGUUUGAGUGUCAUU